This 207-nucleotide ribosomal RNA is filed under the name uncultured bacterium. RNAcentral's name for it is "partial 16S ribosomal RNA". It matches the Rfam family "Bacterial small subunit ribosomal RNA", at positions 568 to 774 of the family's 1533-position model. The record is from RNAcentral.
CGCGUAGGCGGCCUAAUAAGUAGGGGGUGAAAUCCUGCAGCUUAACUGCAGGGCUGCCUCCUAAACUGUUGGGCUAGAGCACGGUAGAGGCAGAUGGAAUUCCCGGUGUAGCGGUGGAAUGCGUAGAGAUCGGGAAGAACAUCAGUGGCGAAGGCGGUCUGCUGGGCCGUUGCUGACGCUGAGGCGCGACAGCGUGGGGAGCAAACA